GAGUUUGAUCCUGGCUCAGGAUGAACGCUGGCGGCGUGCUUAACACAUGCAAGUCGAACGAACCUUCGGGUUAGUGGCGGACGGGUGAGUAACGCGUGAGAAUCUGCCCUCAGGAGGGGGAUAACAGCUGGAAACGGCUGCUAAUACCCCAUAUGCCGCGAGGUGAAAUGAAUUUCGCCUGAGGAUGAGCUCGCGUCUGAUUAGCUAGUUGGUGUAGGUAAAGGCUCACCAAGGCAUCGAUCAGUAGCUGGUCUGAGAGGAUGAUCAGCCACACUGGGACUGAGACACGGCCCAGACUCCUACGGGAGGCAGCAGUGGGGAAUUUUCCGCAAUGGGCGAAAGCCUGACGGAGCAACGCCGCGUGAGGGAUGAAGGCCUCUGGGCUGUAAACCUCUUUUAUCAAGGAAGAAGAUCUGA
RNAcentral lists this ribosomal RNA (417 nucleotides) under uncultured cyanobacterium. Its description in RNAcentral is "bacterial SSU rRNA". It matches the Rfam family "Bacterial small subunit ribosomal RNA", at positions 9 to 456 of the family's 1533-position model. The record is from RNAcentral. Lineage: Bacteria; Bacillati; Cyanobacteriota.